UGGGGUAUCGCCAAGUCGGUAAGGCAUCGGACUUUGACUCCGACAAGGAUAGUGAUUCUGUCCGACCGCAGGUUCAAGUCCUGCUACCCCAG
Molecule: transfer RNA, 92 nt
Filed under: Caudoviricetes sp.
Lineage: Duplodnaviria; Heunggongvirae; Uroviricota; Caudoviricetes
Description: tRNA-Gln
Rfam family: tRNA
About the family: Transfer RNA (tRNA) molecules are approximately 80 nucleotides in length. Their secondary structure includes four short double-helical elements and three loops (D, anti-codon, and T loops).
Source: RNAcentral